This 23-nucleotide non-coding RNA is filed under the name Arabidopsis thaliana (thale cress). The record is from RNAcentral. RNAcentral also lists the same sequence under 3 other names. Lineage: Eukaryota; Viridiplantae; Streptophyta; Magnoliopsida; Brassicales; Brassicaceae.
CCUGCCCUUUGUACACACCGCCC